Molecule: ribosomal RNA, 408 nt
Filed under: uncultured bacterium
Lineage: Bacteria
Description: partial 16S ribosomal RNA
Rfam family: Bacterial small subunit ribosomal RNA
Source: RNAcentral
GACGAACGCUGGCGGCGUGCUUAACACAUGCAAGUCGAACGGAGUGGCGGACGGGUGAGUAACGCGUAAUCAACCUGCCCUUCAAAGGGGGACAACAGUAGGAAACGACUGCUAAUACCGCAUACUGAAGGAGGGGAUUGCGUCCGAUUAGCUAGUUGGAGGGGUAAAGGCCCAACAAGGCGAGGAUCAGUAGCCGGUCUGAGAGGAUGAACGGCCACAUUGGGACUGAGAACAGGCCCAGACUCCUACGGGAGGCAGCAGUGGGGAAUCUUCCGCAAUGGACGAAAGUCUGACGGAGCAACGCCGCGUGAGUGAUGACGGCCUUCGGGUUGUAAAGCUCUGUUAAUCGGGACGCGGUACCGGAAUAGAAAGCCACGGCUAACUACGUGCCAGCAGCCGCGGUAAUAC